Pongo abelii (Sumatran orangutan) is the source of this 148-nucleotide unclassified non-coding RNA. It matches the Rfam family "Metazoan signal recognition particle RNA". Rfam says of the family: The signal recognition particle (SRP) is a universally conserved ribonucleoprotein. It is involved in the co-translational targeting of proteins to membranes. The record is from Ensembl. Lineage: Eukaryota; Metazoa; Chordata; Mammalia; Primates; Hominidae.
GCUGGGCAUGGUUGCGCAUGCCUGUAGUCCCAGGUACUUGGGAGGCUGAGACAGGAGAACCGCUUGAACCCAGGAGGUGGAGGUUUCAUCGAGCUGAUAUUGUGCCACUGUACUCCAGCCUGGGUGACAGAGCGAGACCCUGUCUCAA